CCAUGGAGGGGGAGCAAGCGUGAGCUGGCACCCAACACCCCCUUCUCCACAUGGAGGGUGGUCACAUGUUCUCCACCUGUUCCCCUAGAUGGUGAGACUUCUGUUGGGCUUGCUUUUCCUGGGCCAGUGUCCAUCAGCCAGGUGCUCAGCCAUCGGUGCGCUGAAGCUCCAGCCCUUCCUGGUGCCCUGAUCUCCUGCACUGAGCUGUGAUGAGCACAUCCGGGUUCCACUGGAUGCACGUGCGGGAAGGGGGGUGCCCUGGGUUGGGUCAGUGAUGAGAACCUUAUAUUGUCCUGAAGAGAGGUGAUGACUUAAAAAUCAUGCUCAAUAGGAUUACGCUGAGGCCCAGCCUAGGGGAGAAUUUUGGAAAAGGAUGCUGGGAUCCCAAGGUCCCCAACAGGGCCACUGUAUUUUGGACCUGAGACCUGGUGGCUCUGAAGGGCAUCUGGAGGUGGCCGAACCUGUCUCUGCACUCUAGGUUCCCUGUGUGGGCUUGGUGUCGGUGCUCCAGUUCCCUGGGGGCAGGGAAUGUUGAUGGCUCCUUCCUGAGUCCCUGUUCUUGCCUUUGUCUUUCAGUGAGCUCUUUCACCUAGGAGGGCCUCUUGGCAUUGACUGGCAUAGAUGGUGACCCUGAAGAAAGACUUGAGUUGGGCCUGAAGGCCCCGGGCCAGCGUCCAUCAUCCAGGUGCUCAGCUCCCAGUGCACUGAAGCUCAGACCCUUCCUGGUUCCCUGGUCUCUUGCCCUGAGCUCUGAUGGUGAGACUUGAGGAAGACUUCCAUUGGGCCUGCUUUUCCUGAGCCAGUGUCCAUCACCCAGGUGCUCAGUCCCUGGUGCACUGAAGCUCCAGCCCUUCCUGGCGCCCUGGUCUCCUGCACUGAGCUGUGUGAGCUCUUCUGCCAAGCGGUUCCCCUGGCAUUGACCAACAUAGAUGGUGAGCCUGGAGGAAGACUUGCGUUGGGCCCAAAGGCCCUAGACCAGUGUCUGUCAGCCAGGUUCCCAACCCCCGAUGCGCUGAAGCUCAAGCCUUUCCUGGCACCCUGGUCUCCUGCACUGAGCUGUGUGAGCUCUUCUGCCCAGGCGGGCCCCCUGGAAUUGACGGGUAUAGAUGGUGACCCCGGAGGAAAAUUUGUGUUGGGCCCACUAUGCCUGGACCAAUGUCAGUCAGCUAGGCACCCAGCCCCCAGUGCGCUGAAGCUCAGGACCUUCCUAGUGCCCUCGGCUCCUGCACUGAGCUCUGAUGGUAAGCCUGGAGGAAGACUUGUGUUGGGCCCACAGGCCCCAGGCCAAUGUCUGUCAGUCAGGUGCUCAGCCUCUGGUGCGCUGAAACUCUGACCCUUCCUGGCACCCUGGUCUCCUGCACUGAGCUGUGAUUUUCCACCUAGGAGGUCCACCUGGCAUUGACUGACAUAGAUGGUGAGACUUCUGUCGGCCUCGCUUUUCCUGGGCCAGUGUCCAUCAGCCAGGUGCUCAGCCCUCAGUGCACUGAAGCUCCAGCCCUUCCUGGCGCCCUGGACUGAGCUGUGUGAGCUCUUCUGCCAAGGGGGUCCUCCUGGCAUUGACCAACAUAGGUGGUGAGCCUGGAGGAAAACUUGCAUUGGGCCCAAUGGCCCUGGACCAGUGUCUGUCAGCCAGGUUCCCAACCCCCGAUGCGCUGAAGCUCAAGCCUUUCCUGGCACCCUGGUCUCCUGCACUGAGCUGUGUGAGCUCUUCGGCCUAAGCGGUCCCCCCGGCCUUAAGCGGCAUAGAUGGUGAGCCUGGAGGAAGACUCGUGUUGGGCCCACAGGCCCCAGGCAAGUGUACGUCAGCCAGGUGCUCAGCCCAUGGUGUGCUGAAGCUCUGACCCUUCCUGACUCCGUGGUCUCCUGCACUGAGCUGUGGUGACCAUAUCCAGUGAGCUCUUCCAAACAGGUGGGCUCCCUAGCAUUGACCGACAGUGAGCUCUGCCACCCAGGACAUCCCCCUGGCAUUGACUGGCAUAGUGAGCUUUUCCACCCAGGUGGGCCCCCUGGCAUUGACCGACAUAGAUGAUGAGACUGGAGGAAGACUUCCAUUGGGCCCACUUUUCCUGGGCCAGUGUCCAUCAGCCAGGUGCUCAGCCCCUGGUGUACUGAAGCUCCAGCCUUUCCUGGUGCCCCAGUCUUCUGCACUAAGCUGUGUGAGCUCUUCCACCCAGGAGGGCCCCUUGGCAUUGACUGGCAUAGAUGGUGAGACUGGAGGAAGACUUGUGUUGGGCCUGCUGUUCCUGGGCCAGUGGCCAUCAGCCUGUUGCCUAGCCCCUGAUGCGCUGAAGCUCAGGCCCUUCCUCACGCCCUGGUCUUCUGCACUAGCUGUGUGAGCUCUUCUGCCCAGGUGGGGCCCAUGGCCUUACACGACAUAGGAGCACGCAUUUCUUGAAGUCCUGCAAAGGUGAUGGUGGUCCAGACAGGAAAGGGUUCCUUCAGCCCAACAUAGAACAGCUCCCAGCUGAAACUCAGCGGGCUGGUCAGGCCUCAAGGACUGCCCAGGCCACAUGAGGGUUUGGUGGCCGGGAGGGCCAAUGAUGCUCUGCGUCUGUGUUGGAUCAGUGUUCUUCAUGGAUUCCAUCACAUGGAUAUCCCCUACCCACCUUCCCCUUGCUCAUACGUGAGGCCCUGGUUGGACACAUGUCCUUCUCCUGUCACCCCAGAUGGUGAGCCUUGAGGAAGACUUGUAUUGGGCCCCCACAGGCCCCAGGCCAGUGUCUGUCAGCCUGGUGCUCACCCCCAGUGCGCUGAAGCUCAGACCCUCCGUGGCACCCUGGUCUCCUGCACUGAGCUGUGUGAACUUUUCCUCCCAGAUGGGCCCCCUGGCAUUGACUGGCAUAGAUGGUGAGACCGGAGGAAGACUUGCAUUGGGCCUGCUGUUCCUGGGCCAGUGGCCAUCAGCCUGUUGCCUAGCCCCUGAUGCGCUGAAGCUCGGGCCCUUCCUCGCGCCCUGGUCUCCUGCACUGAGCUGUGGUGAGCUCUUCUGCCCAGGUGGGGCCCAUGGCCUUAAGCGGCAUAGGAGCAUGCAUUUCGUGAAGCCCUGCAGAGGAGAUGGUGGUCCCAGCAGGAAAGGGUUCCUUCAGCCCAACAUAGAGCAGCUCCCAGCUGAAACUCAGCGGGCUGGUCAGGCCUCGAGGACUGCCCAGGCCACAUGAGAUGGUGAGCCAGGAGGAAGACUUGUGUUGGACCCCCACAGGCCCCAGGCCAGUGUCCAUCAGCCUGGUGCUAAUCCCCCAGUGCGCUGGAGUUUGGACCCUCCCUGGCACCCUGGUCUCCUGCACUGAGCUUGAGCUCUUCCACCCAGGCAGGCCCCCGGCAUUGACUGGCAUAGGUGGUGAGCCCGGAGGAGGACUUGCGUUCGGCCUGCUGGUCCCAGUGUGUCCGGAAUUGGUGGGUUCUUGGUCUCACUGACUUCAAGAAUGAAGCUGCGGACCCUCGCGAUGAUGAUAUGGAAGAAAAGCACUCUUUGGCCUGUUGUGACUGGGACAGUUGACAGCACCCAGGUGUCCUUUAAUGAAAAUGCUCUUGACACCAAUGCAUCCUAGCAUCACAGCUUCAGGAAGCCUUCUCAAGUGUGCAUGGGGAGUACCAUGUCUUUCAUCAAUAAUGAAAUCUUCUGAUGUCUUGUAAGACAUGCUGCCAAGAGAUGUGCCAUUCUAUUAUAAAAGAUCAGUAGCUUCCUUUACCGACGUGUAUAUUCUAUCUAGAACAUUGAGCUAGGGAAGACUCCCACCUAAGGGAAUUAGUUUUACACCUUCAGAUAAAGACUGCUGAGAAGAGCACCCUCUGGUGUUGUCACAGAGGCAAGUGCUACCGCACAGGCAUGCUGCAGUGAAUUUAACUGAUCCUCUGUCCCUGCAACCGUUGUUUAAGGAUGCUAUUCUGAAAAGACUGUGGAGGAAGAAAACCCUUUACCCUGUUGUUCAGGGAGAAACUGACACCACUCAACUGCCUGGCACUGAAAAUGUGGCAUCCAGUCCACUUAACCAUCAGUGUUUAAGGAAACCAUCUCUGAUAAGGAUGACUGAGGAAGAGUACUCUUUGGCUUGUUGACACCAGCACAGCUGACACACCCAGAUAUCUGUUUGGUCUCCUGUGAACUUUCAACCAGGAUUUAAGGAUGCCACUCUGGUUAAAAGCUGAAACAACUUCAAGGAAACUUCAGGGAAAAGAGAAGGCCUGGAAUCUGAUCCUCCACUUCAGAGAACAGGGGCUGGAAUGCAGUGGCACCAUCUCGGCUCACUGCAACCUCUGCCUCCCGGGUUCAAACGAAUUCUCCUACCUCAGCCUCCCAAGUAGCUGGGACUACAGAUGCACGCCACCACAACUGGCUAAUUUUUUUGUAUUUUUAGUAGAGAGGGGGUUUCACCACGUUGGCCAGGUUGGUCUCAAUCUCUUGACGUCGUGAUUCGCCCGCCUCAGCCUCCCAAAGUGCUGGGAUUACAGGCAUGAGCCACUGGGAUUACAGUGCCUGGCCUGUAGUGUUUAAUAUGUUAAACUGAAUUUUUCAGGUAUAUAGAUAAAAAUUAGUCAAAAAACACUGUAAUUAGAUAUGAACAUUCAUAAAGUUUGGUUUAUUGAUAGAGGUGUUCUACUGAGAAAGACAUUUUUAUAAGAUUUCUUGUGAUAAAUGUGUCCCUGAAAAUACUCAAUCUUUUAAAUUUUGCACUUAAAAACCUCCUACGCAAAAACAGUUUGGUGCAGACUACUUAAUACUUAUGCAACUUUGUAAUUAGUGUUAACAAACAUAAUUAAUAAUCAAAAUAAGAGUACUAGUGUACAGAAAGCAUCUCUAAUUUCCAAUAUACAAUAGUAACUAUAGAACAAUGCAAAAACAAAAACAAAAAAACCAGUAACGAACAGGGAACAGUUAACAGUAGCAUAUUAGAAAACAGGGAUAAGGAAAGGUCACAACUGCUAUAAUGCAGACUUGAGCAAAAAGAGGAGGGGGCAUAAAGACUGGAUAAAGCCACACAAUAAGCACCUCUAAGAUGGAGCACGUGGCCAAAAGAGCAGAUGAGCACAUUCCUCAUGUACCACAUCCCCCGCAGCUGGCUGCAUUCCACUGUGCCAGCACUCUACAUUCAGUUACUGGUACUCUCUGGUGCACACUUACUGGAGAACUGUGUACAAUAAAGUCAAUGCAGCUUCCACAUUAUACUGACACACUAUAUAUAUAGACAACAUUUACCUAUUUUCCCAUAGUGUGUGAACUAAUUCAUGAAACAGAAUUAUACACUCUGAAGCAACUAAGUUGUGUAAAGUGACGAAAAUAAUUUUAUUGUGGAAACAGAGUAGAGGUUAUAACACAAUGCCACUUCACUAAUUCUUUCAAACUUGAUUCAAAUGAUGUUAGUGAAAGUUUUAGAGGCAAAUGCCUCUAAAAUUCUCUGACUUGUAUGUCAUGAAAAAAAGCUUUCUCUCUUAAAAUACAAUUGCCUCUGGGUGUGUGUAGGGGUGAGGGUGGAGGGGCGCUAAGCCCUGGUAGUCAUUCAAAAAUUUGAUUACUUUGUUACUAAUUACCUUCACUGAGGAAAAUAACUUGGAGUUUUAGUAUUAGCGACAAGGUAAUCGAAUUCUGAAUUUUGGACAUAGGACCAUUUAGAAAACAAAAGACCUGAGUGAAGACUGUCAUUGGUAGGUCACGAUCCUUGGCAGCAUGACUGUACCAAAUGUCCGGAAGGAGAGUGAGAAGCAUAUAUCUGAAGGAAACGUAGAAUUCUCACAUAACUAUCACAAAAUUUUGUCUUGCCUUCAAAAAUGGAAAAAACCCACUGUUUCCUCUUUCUGCUUCUUUCAUCACAUCAUCCUGAGGUUCCAGAACUCAUGCCAGAUACUUAGUCCAGUUAUUCUAUAACUUAAAUAGAUGUUGUGGCCUAGUUUUGGAGAUUAACUACCACUUAAUACAUUUUUCCUAAGAAUUUUAAAAAGUUCAAAUCAAUCUAUUAACAAAUGAACUUUUGGCAUAUGAUCUGCUUCUAAUUAGCAAUGAUUAGACCUGUAAAAUGUAGUUAUUAUUCCUGUCCGUUACCACAAUAAAAAAUUGGUUCUACGAUAUCAAAAUGUCUUUAUGUCACAGAAGAAAAAACAAAUAAAAACUCAUACAUUUAAAUCUCCCACAUGGUUUUCAGGCAACAAUUCUCAAUUGAAAAUAAAACAUCUUACCUUUAAAAUCAA
RNAcentral lists this antisense RNA (6180 nucleotides) under Pan troglodytes (chimpanzee). The stretch from base 266 to 347 matches the Rfam family "Small nucleolar RNA SNORD115". The record is from RNAcentral. Lineage: Eukaryota; Metazoa; Chordata; Mammalia; Primates; Hominidae.